AUCUCCCCAAACCCCCCUCGGGACCCCCAAAAUUCCUUUUGGGACCCCCAAAAUUCCUCUUUGGGACCCCGAAAUGCGCCACAGGCGAAUUCGGCUCGGUGGUGGAGGGGACGCUGCGCCAGGACUCCGGCGUGCUGCGCGUGGCCGUGAAGACGAUGAAACUCGCCGUCUGCUCGCGGGGGGAACUGGAGGAUUUCCUGAGCGAAGCCGUGUGCAUGAAGGAGUUCGACCACCCCAACGUCAUGAAGCUGAUCGGUGAGAAAGCCCCUCAAAAAUGCCCCCGAAUCACCCCAAAAUUACCCCAAAAUCUCCCCAAAAUUAGCCCAAAAAUGCCCCAAAAGUAUCCCAAAAUCACCCAAAGAUACGCCAAAAUCACCCCCCAAAAGUACCCCAAAAUCACUCCCAAAAUACCCAAAACCACCACAAAAAUGCCCCAAGAUCACCCUAAACCCCCCAAAAUCACCCCCAAAUCCACUCUGAAACUUUUCUAAAACUCCUGGGACCCAAAAUCCCAAAAAAUUCCCCCAAAAAUCCCCCAAGAAUCUCCUCAAAUGCAGCUCGACCACCCCAAGGUCAGGAAGCUGAUCAGUGAGAAACCCCAAAAAUUCUCCCAAAUCACCCCAAAAAUCACCAGAAAAAAUCACCCCAAAAUUACCCCAAAAAUGCCCCCAAAUCACCCCCAAAUAUACCCCAGCAUCACCCAAAAAUGCCCCAAAAAUCACCCCAAAAUCUCCCCCAAAUUCCCCAAAUCACCCCAAAUUCCCCAGAUCCUCUCUGGGCCCCCCCAGUUUUGGGGGCUCAGGGGGCUCUGACCCCAAAUUUUGGGGAUCCUGAGCCCAAAUUUUGGGGAUCCGUGUCCCAAUUUUGAGGCAUCCUGAGCCCAAAUUUUGGGGGUCCUGAGCCCAGAUUUUGGGGGGGCUGCACCCCAAUUUUGGGGGAUUCCUACCCCAAUUAUGGGGGUUCUGAGCCCAAAUUUUGGGGGUCUGCACCCCAAUUUGGGGGGAAUC
RNAcentral lists this long non-coding RNA (1007 nucleotides) under Chloebia gouldiae (Gouldian finch). Its description in RNAcentral is "Erythrura gouldiae (Gouldian finch) lncRNA (ENSEGOG00005010744.1)". The record is from RNAcentral. Lineage: Eukaryota; Metazoa; Chordata; Aves; Passeriformes; Passeridae.